UUGCAGUAGCGGCUCGGUGCCGUUUGGCACCGGGUUAUUAAAAUAGUCCGAUAUAGGCCGGGAUACGAUCUUUCGCGACGCACGCUGGCGGUUUCUUAGAUCCGGAAAUUUGUCUCUAUUAAUGCCUCGAGAAAGGCACAUCCUUGCUUAUUUACGACACAUGAUUGACAGUUGUAACGUUCGCAGGAUAUCAUGCACUCCUAAAUAAAAUAGAUCGAUUAAUUGUAAUCGAGAGCUGGAAAUUUGGGUUAUCAAGAUAGACAAAGAGAAAGAGAUAGAGGAAGGGAUCGACGAAGAUAUAGAGAGAGAGAUGGAAAAGUGCCAUUGAGCGGGCCGAAAGCGAGAAUAUUAAUGCGAUUAUAAAUAAACUCGGAGGAAAAAUCCGGCGAAGCGCGCCUCUGGACGUCGCCGGCCACGAAACCGCGAUAGGAAGCCGCACGGUUAACUUCGGCUCUCGCGUUCCCCGUUUAUACACGAGGCCCCGUUUAUACAUAAACCGCUUCUAUUUUCCCCUCUUUCACGCGUCAUUUCCUCCUUUUCCUCCCUUUCUCCCUGGAUAUCCCGAUAGAAUGACUUCGGACGCAACCACGCGCCGUAAAACGCGGACAGUCCUGAUGGAUCGCCUGUCCCCGAGGAAGUGAUUGGACACGUUCGAAAAUUGGAAGAUGUACGGAAAAACGAGACGGGGUGUGGGAUCGUCUGAUUACGAGAUUACGGUAAUAUGAUGGCAUUCGGUAAGAGAUUUAUCAACGUCGCGGCGAUACGUAACAGAAUGUCUUCGACGAGAGAGAUAUGUAUAA
Long non-coding RNA from Camponotus floridanus (Florida carpenter ant), 800 nucleotides. RefSeq lists it as uncharacterized. Lineage: Eukaryota; Metazoa; Arthropoda; Insecta; Hymenoptera; Formicidae. The transcript has 2 exons. The record is from RefSeq and is a predicted model, not a curated record.